Long non-coding RNA from Caretta caretta (loggerhead turtle), 1234 nucleotides. RefSeq lists it as uncharacterized. The record is from RefSeq and is a predicted model, not a curated record. Lineage: Eukaryota; Metazoa; Chordata; Testudines; Cheloniidae.
GAGAACCAAACUUAAGACUCGCUUGUAAUUUAGCAGCAUGUAACCUGAUCCCACAAACACAGAUAUGCUUAACUUUAAGCAGGAGGUGUCCCACAAUAUCCAUCGUGACUGCUCUGGUCAGCAAUUUGAACUCCGCUGCCCUGCAGCCAAGUAAACGGCCAUCCACCCCUCCCCCUUAGAAGCCCUGGGGAUUUUUGAAAUUCUAUUUCCUGUUGGCUCGGCAUGGAGAGGUCUUCCCAGGUGACCACGACAGAUUAUAGCAGCAAACGCUCUCCUGCUUGGACCACUACAGAGCUGUUGGAUCCGCUCAGUAUAUGGAGAGGAGGCUGGUCAGUCACAGCUGCGCUUGAGCCAUAGGAUUUGGGAUACCUACGGGCACAUUUCCCAAGGCUUGUGCGAGGGCUAUGAUCGGGACACGCUGCAGUACACAGUGAAGAUAAAGGAGCUCAGGCAGGCGUACCAUAAGGUAAGGGAGGCAAACCGUCACUUUGGUGCUGCAGCUAAGAUCGACCAGUUCUAUAAGGAGAAAUGGCGAUGGAGGUGGGGUCGCCACCUUAUCCUUUGUGGCAACCCCACCUCCAUCGCCAAGAGCCCCGUGGAUACUUUGGAAGGCCCGAAAGUGGUGGAAAGAGGACCUAACCCAGGGACGAAGUAACUGAUGAAGAAGUGGAGUUAGAGGACGAUGUGCAGCUCCCAGCGGGGUCACCUGGUGGGGCAGGCAGCCAGGAACUGUUCUCCACUCCAGAGGUGUCUAGCCAGUCUCAGGAGUUGCUCUCCAAUGAGCAAAAAGCAGAAGAUGAGACUCCUGAUGUGGCCUUCAGGACACUCCCCACACAUUAGCCACGCAUUUCUGCCAGAUAAAAAGGCGCCCACAACGCAGCAAAGAUGACAUGUUCCGGGAGGUACUGCUCUGCUCCAAUGCAGAGAAAAGGGAACACGGGAGUGCUGGGAAACUGAACGGCAGGACAGAAAAGAGAAUCAGGAGUUUGUUAAGGAUGCUACGGAGCGGAUGAUUAAAUUAACAGAGGAGUAAAUGCAGAUGCUGAAGUCCUCCCCUGCAGCACAUUCAGAACUCUUUUCCAUGCCACCCUCACCCCCCAAACUCUGUCUGCAAAUUCCUUUCUACUUUCUGGGACUUCUUGGUUUCCCCUUCACUCCACUCAGACAACUUUCACAAUGAUAGCUGGAUCUACAUACAGCUCUGAAAGUCUGCCCUUCCCUGGUUCCUUCUUUC